ACGGGUGAGUAACACGUAUCCAACCUGCCGUCUACUCUUGGUCAGCCUUCUGAAAGGAAGAUUAAUCCAAGAUGGCAUCAUGAGUCCACAUGUUCACAUGAUUAAAGGUAUUCCGGUAGACGAUGGGGAUGCGUUCCAUUAGAUAGUAGGCGGGGUAACGGCCCACCUAGUCUUCGAUGGAUAGGGGUUCUGAGAGGAAGGUCCCCCACAUUGGAACUGAGACACGGUCCAA
Molecule: ribosomal RNA, 232 nt
Filed under: uncultured bacterium
Lineage: Bacteria
Description: partial 16S ribosomal RNA
Rfam family: Bacterial small subunit ribosomal RNA
Source: RNAcentral